This 58-nucleotide ribosomal RNA is filed under the name Gyrodactylus corleonis. RNAcentral describes it as "partial 28S ribosomal RNA". Lineage: Eukaryota; Metazoa; Platyhelminthes; Monogenea; Gyrodactylidea; Gyrodactylidae. The record is from RNAcentral.
CCUGACCUCGAUUCGAGCGUGAAUACCCGCUGAACUUAAGCAUAUCAAUAAGCGGAGG